RNAcentral lists this long non-coding RNA (268 nucleotides) under Cicer arietinum (chickpea). RNAcentral describes it as "long non-coding RNA (CARI_LNC003481)". The record is from RNAcentral. Lineage: Eukaryota; Viridiplantae; Streptophyta; Magnoliopsida; Fabales; Fabaceae.
GGACGCAAGGUCGCGCGCGGUGGUCGGUGGCGGUGCCUGAUAGGCUGUCCUCGCCGGAGUAGUUGUGGAGGGAGAUGAGAAAAUGAGAGGAGAUAAUUUAGGGUUAGAGAGAAGUGGGUAACAGAAUGAUGAGAAUGAGUUCAGAUUUUUAUGUUUGUCCUUAUCUUUCAAUUGCUUAAUUCUUAAAUUUACUAGUACGAUAAAUGUCGAUUAAUACCCGCUCUCAACCAUUAUUAUUUUUCCAUUAUUUUUAUCUUCUUAAUUAGUU